GGAGUCUAACAUGUGCGCGAGUCGCUGGGAGCACUCGCUAAACCCGGAGGCGCAGUGAAAGCGGGGAGCAGCCCUUCGUGGGCCGCCGUUGGGAGGAUGUCGAGCGGAACUCCCGCACGACCGCACUCCCGGGGCGCUUCGGCCUCGGCCGCAUGCGCACCCCGAGCGCACACGUUGGGACCCGAAAGAUGGUGAACUAUGCCUGGUCAGGACGAAGUCAGGGGAAACCCUGAUGGAGGUCCGCAGCGAUUCUGACGUGCAAAUCGAUCGUCAGAGCUGGGUAUAGGGGCGAAAGACUAAUCGAACCAUCUAGUAGCUGGUUCCCUCCGAAGUUUCCCUCAGGAUAGCUGGCGCUCAUUUGGAGAGGGACGAGUCUCAUCCGGUAAAGCGAAUGAUUAGAGGCCUUGGGGCCGAAACGACCUCAACCUAUUCUCAAACUUUAAAUGGGUGAGAUCUCCGGCUUGCUCGACUGAAGCCGCGAGAGUACCGGAUCAGGGUGCCAAGUGGGCCAUUUUUG
Molecule: ribosomal RNA, 517 nt
Filed under: Byrsotria fumigata
Lineage: Eukaryota; Metazoa; Arthropoda; Insecta; Blattodea; Blaberidae
Description: eukaryotic LSU rRNA
Rfam family: Eukaryotic large subunit ribosomal RNA
Source: RNAcentral